Molecule: ribosomal RNA, 407 nt
Filed under: Verrucomicrobiota bacterium
Lineage: Bacteria; Pseudomonadati; Verrucomicrobiota
Description: Verrucomicrobia bacterium partial 16S ribosomal RNA
Rfam family: Bacterial small subunit ribosomal RNA
Source: RNAcentral
UGGGGAAUAUUGGACAAUGGAGGGAACUCUGAUCCAGCAAUUCUGUGUGUGUGAAGAAGGUUUUAGGACUGUAAAACACUUUUAGUAGGGAAGAAAAAAAUGACGGUACCUACAGAAGAAGCAACGGCUAAAUACGUGCCAGCAGCCGCGGUAAUACGUAUGUUGCGAGCGUUAUCCGGAAUUAUUGGGCUUAAAGGGCAUCUAGGCGGUAAGACAAGUUGAAGGUAAAAACCUGUGGCUCAACCAUAGGCUUGCCUACAAAACUGUUGAACUAGAGUACUGGAAAGGUGGGUGGAACUACACGAGUAGAGGUGAAAUUCGUAGAUAUGUGUAGGAAUGCCGAUGAUGAAGAUAGCUCACUGGACAGAAACUGACGCUGAAGUGCGAAAGCUAGGGGAGCAAACAGG